Molecule: unclassified non-coding RNA, 442 nt
Filed under: Hevea brasiliensis (rubber tree)
Lineage: Eukaryota; Viridiplantae; Streptophyta; Magnoliopsida; Malpighiales; Euphorbiaceae
Source: RNAcentral
AAUGAUUUUAAAAGUAUUGAAGGGGACAAAGCUUUGGGACUGCAGUCUCUUCCGGUGGCAUUCGGUAUUGAUACCGCCAAAUGGAUAUGCGUAGGGGCAAUCGAUAUUACUCAGAUAUCAGUUGCAGGCUAUCUACUUGGUGCUGGGAAACUGCUUUAUGCGCUCGCUUUACUUGGAUUGAUCAUUCCACAAGUUAUUUUUCAGUUCCAGUAUCUAUUAAAAGACCCAGUUAAAUAUGAUGUAAAAUACCAGGCCAGUGCGCAGCCAUUCUUGAUUUUGGGCCUCUUAGUGACGGCCUUGGCUAUUAGCCAUUGAUACGAGGACUUACCGUAUUCCACCCGGAUUUAUACGUUGAUCGACUCGGGGUGAGGGAGCACAACAAUCUGGAAUGAUGAAGGUUAAGGUAGAUGUAUCAUUGGAAUGUUUUGGUUUUGGGCUUGUU